Molecule: small nucleolar RNA, 104 nt
Organism: Rana temporaria (common frog)
Lineage: Eukaryota; Metazoa; Chordata; Amphibia; Anura; Ranidae
Product: small nucleolar RNA SNORA17
Exons: 1
Source: RefSeq, a predicted model, not a curated record
AGCGGCAGCACAGGGGUUUGUGUGUGUAAACACAGAAAUCUCUGUGCUGUCAGAGAGAAGACAGAUUGUGUGUUUCCACAAAGUAGAAACAGCAAUCUCUCAUC